CGAACAAUUUGGUACUAAAACCUAUAAAUUCAAUCUCCCAUCAAUGUUUAUAAUAGAUUUUGGACGUAUCAUUCACGUGGUGUCCUUUUUCCUCCCUUCUCUUUUCCUGUAAAUACUGUUUAGAAGCUUUUGACUUGGGUCAAGAUUCCUAUUAUUGCAUCAUGACGUGCCAUAAAUCAUUAUAUGUAUCAGAGGGGGGUAGUUUCCGUUCUUCUGCACCUACUAUGAUUUUUCCCUUUCUUCCCACCUCUUUCUUGCUUCUUUCUUGGUUCUACCAUGGCCAUUGAAGCCACUCUGGAGAGAAUCCAGAGAUGAUCCGUGUUACUCCUCCUCUUGAUGGAGGAAACUAUCACUCUUGGUGCAGAGGGAUGAAGCGAGCCCUUCUCUUCAACAACAAACUGAAGUUUCUCGACGGUAGAAUUGAAAGAACGCUUCUCGCAAGGAGAUCAAGACACCUUAAAACGAAGAGUGAAUUAAAUGCAAACGGGUGAGUCCGCUAAGUCACAUACGUCGAAAGGUAACUGGAUCUUGGACAACUGAGCCACAAAUCAGAUUUGUCAAUAAUUUGUGCUUUUUGCCAAUGUCUAAUCAUCUAUGCAAUAUCAUUAUCACAUUUUAUGGAAGCUGGAUCAUGAAUGAGGUGGUUGUUACGUACCUUUAUUGGACGACAAUAAUCAAUAUAAGUGACAACUUUUUUGACUCCACACUGGACAAUUUCACUUAUUUGAGUUUGGAGUUCAUUGAAUGAUAUAUUGUGAUUGAUUGAGGUGUUGACUUUUGCAUCUGAUCGAAAUUUGAGCCCAUACCAAGACCGACUUUCAAUGAUUCCAACGCCUUUUAAUGGACCUCUGAAAUAGAUUAUUGUCGGUGAGUUCAGAGUGUCAGUUUUGGGUGUCGUAGAUGAAGAUGAUGCAUUUGUUGAAAUCAUAAGAGCCAUGAUUUGGUUCGGAGAUCUUACCCAUGUAACAUAAAUUUCCAUGACUACGUUAAUGGGAAAGUGAGACUUACAUGUUAUCAUUUGUGUCACAUAUUCGUCUGAGCGUAGCUUAAAUGCUUCGUAUGAGAUUGUUUGAUCACCAUGAAUUGUGGGUCAGCGGAAGUACAACUUGUUGAUGGGUGUGUUAGUUGGUUUGUUAGAUGUUAUGUAAACAUUUUCCUUAAGGAGUUUGUGGGUGCAAUAUGGGAUGCGAAACAAUUUUGGAUGCUGACAUAUAAAUUCGACCCCAUGAUCACCAUUCCUAAUUUCGUCGUCUUGAAAUAAGAUAACAAGGUAUGGGUUAAAUAGGUUUUUUGUGGCUGUGGUGUUCAUGCCAAAAACUUCAUUAUCGUAUGUGUUCAUGUUUUCUAGGGGAUGAAGUUUCAAAUGAGUUGAAAUUGAAUGGGAAUGAGGAUAUGACUUCAGAAGAAAUAAGAAGUAGGAGGAAGCUAUGUCCUAAGGUUAUGUGCAAAACUACAAGAUGUUUCCUUGUAUUUAUAGUGGCAAUAUGUGAAGUGUCGUCUAAUUGUUGAAAAUGAGUUGAAAAGGACAAAAUAUUCAUAUGGGAUAUUUUUUUUUAUAAUUUAUUCAAUAUUCAAAGUAGAUAAUGAAAUACAAUUUUAGUUAAUAUUUAUCUAUGUCCUCUAGUCCCACAAGUUGGUCUUCUUCGUUGCUGUUGACCUCGUCUUUGUUGUUGUGGUGGGGAGUCUGUGUGUCUCUGUCUUCAUCACUGUGUUGAGUUUCAAUUGACUGUUCUUGAUAUUGGAAAUCUACGAACAAUUGAUAAACGUUUUAUGAUGAAGUAGCGUGUUGGUAUGCAAACGGUGGAAUCAUUGUCGAGGUUCCAAAAUAAUGCGAAGGACCCACACUAAAUGUUGAAGGACCUGCAUUGAACGAUGUUGAUGGUGGAAAAUAACCGUAAGAGCUUCCAACUUGAGGAUAUGAUGAUGUCAGUGGGAUGUGUUGUGGGAAGCUUGGAUACAGAGAUGGAGAUGGAUAGUGUAGGUGGUCAAAAGAAGACCUUUGUGGGUCAUGGUACGAUGGUGAUGAACGGUGUGCAGGUGGUGGUUGAAACUGUUGUUGAGGAUCCGUGUCAUACUGUUGAAUACAAUGUUUAGGUUAGGUUGGUAGGAAAAAACAAACAUACAUAAAUUAAAAAUAUCAAAAUAUUGUUGUACCUCUUCGAACGUUGACUCUUCAAUGGGAGCAACAUAGCAAAUGGUAUGACUUAUAUACCAUUGCAUGAACUCGGAUUCUUCGUGCAAGUGACCAUUUAUGUUGAAUGGAAUACCGUUAAAUACACGAUUGUGAAGGUCAUUCCAUAAUGCAAUCCACUGUUGAUGGUGUUCUUGCCAAUUCCAAUCUGUGCGUCCUCUCAUAUCCUGUUUAUGUACAUCAUCUAUAUUCAUUGAUGUUUAUGGGGCAGUCUUUCGAAAUCCAAAUUGACGUAUGACACGCUCCGGUUGUUGGUAUUCUACAAUAGAGAAGCAUAUGAGAGGUACAACUGCCCUACAAGUGAGGGAUAGUUCGACUUGAAUCAUCUGACGAAUAUAAUCACAUUUGUAUGAAGUCCAUAAGAACUGAAAUAUUGAAAUUAUUGGUUACAAUACAAUUUAUACAUUUAUUCCAAAAGACAACACAUACAUAUACGAAGUGUUCAAUACUUGUCUAGGUGAGAGGUCGUCCAAAUUUUGACGAAAUUGUUGUAGAGUUGUGGUGUCAUGGAAUAUUAACUGCGUUGUUCGACACCAUAUUUUGCCAACGAAAAACAACACUGGUAGAAAUGUCUUUCGAAGUGACUUCAUGUAUUUGUGGAGAAAUACAUGUCAUUCUUUCCCAUGCCCAGCACUGUAACAAUAUCAUGCACCCUUCAAUAUUGUCUUGAUCGACCCUUAUACCAUGAUCGAGGGCACGAUACAAGCAAGAAAGCACUGCAGAUGCCCAACUAUAGUUUGAGACGUUCUACAAGUCAUCUAAAAGGGGCAAAUACAUCAAAUGAACCAUACUUGCAGAUGUAUCUUACAUUAUUAUGAUCCCAAUUAUCAUCAACAUAAACGCUCUAAUGUAUUGUUGAAUAACCUCAUUAGUGGCAUCGUAAGGCAACUGGCGAAAUGUAUUAUUCAGCCAAGACAAUUUAAUUAUGUUGUCUCUGACAUUGUUCUCUGGAGGAACAUCUCCUAAUAGUUGUUG
Molecule: RNA transcript, 3166 nt
Organism: Vigna radiata var. radiata (mung bean)
Lineage: Eukaryota; Viridiplantae; Streptophyta; Magnoliopsida; Fabales; Fabaceae
Exons: 3
Source: RefSeq, a predicted model, not a curated record